Small nucleolar RNA from Ochotona princeps (American pika), 112 nucleotides. Its record names the gene SNORA74. It matches the Rfam family "Small nucleolar RNA SNORA74". From Rfam's summary of the family: U19 belongs to the H/ACA class of snoRNAs. snoRNAs bind a number of proteins (including dyskerin, Gar1p and Nop10p in the case of the H/ACA class) to form snoRNP complexes. Lineage: Eukaryota; Metazoa; Chordata; Mammalia; Lagomorpha; Ochotonidae. The record is from Ensembl.
CCCAGCUGUAGGCAACUGCCUAGGUUACACUGUACAUAGGCAGUUGUUACACUGCUGGGAGAAAAGCAGCUAAUGGCUGGUGGGCAUUCUGGGCCUGGCAAAUGCCAAAUUU